GAACGCUGGCGGCAUGCCUUACACAUGCAAGUCGAACGGCAGCACGGGAGCAAUCCUGGUGGCGAGUGGCGAACGGGUGAGUAAUAUAUCGGAACGUGCCCAGUCGUGGGGGAUAACGCAGCGAAAGUUGUGCUAAUACCGCAUACGAUCUAUGGAUGAAAGCGGGGGAUCGCAAGACCUCGCGCGAUUGGAGCGGCCGAUAUCAGAUUAGGUUGUUGGUUAGGUAAAAGCUCACCAAGCCUGCGAUCUGUAGCUGGUCUGAGAGGACGACCAGCCACACUGGAACUGAGACACGGUCCAGACUCCUACGGGAGGCAGCAGUGGGGAAUUUUGGACAAUGGACGAAAGUCUGAUCCAGCAAUGCCGCGUGCAGGACGAAGGCCUUCGGGUUGUAAAGCUCUUUCGGCUGGGAAGAAAUCGCAUCUCCUAAUACGGGGUGUGGAUGACGGUACCAGCAUAAGAAGCACCGGCUAACUACGUG
This 481-nucleotide ribosomal RNA is filed under the name uncultured bacterium. Its description in RNAcentral is "bacterial SSU rRNA". It matches the Rfam family "Bacterial small subunit ribosomal RNA", at positions 31 to 507 of the family's 1533-position model. The record is from RNAcentral.